Molecule: ribosomal RNA, 663 nt
Filed under: uncultured bacterium
Lineage: Bacteria
Description: bacterial SSU rRNA
Rfam family: Bacterial small subunit ribosomal RNA
Source: RNAcentral
CUGCCCUGCACAGGGGGACAACAGCUAGAAAUGGCUGCUAAUACCGCAUAAGCCUACAGCCUCGCAUGAGGGAGUAGGAAAAGAAAUUCGGUGCAGGAUGAGUCCGCGUCUGAUUAGCUAGUUGGAGGGGUAAAAGCCCACCAAGGCAACAAUCAGUAGCCGGCCUGAGAGGGCGACCGGCCACAUUGGGACUGAGACACGGCCCAAACUCCUACGGGAGGCAGCAGUGGGGAAUAUUGCACAAUGGGGGAAACCCUGAUGCAGCGACGCCGCGUGAGCGAGGAAGUAUUUCGGUAUGUAAAGCUCUAUCAGCAGGGACGAAAAAAGACGGUACCUGACUAAGAAGCCCCGGCUAACUACGUGCCAGCAGCCGCGGUAAUACGUAGGGGGCAAGCGUUAUCCGGAUUUACUGGGUGUAAAGGGAGCGUAGACGGCAAGGCAAGCCAGAAGUGAAAGGGCAGGGCUCAACCCUGUACAUGCUUUUGGAACUGUGGUGCUAGAGUGCAGGAGAGGUAAGUGGAAUUCCUAGUGUAGCGGUGAAAUGCGUAGAUAUUAGGAGGAACACCAGUGGCGAAGGCGGCUUACUGGACUGUAACUGACGUUGAGGCUCGAAAGCGUGGGGAGCAAACAGGAUUAGAUACCCUGGUAGUCCACGCUGUAAAC